CAGCAGCCGCGGUAAUACGUAGGUUGCGAGCGUUAAUCGGAUUUACUGGGCGUAAAGCGUGCGCAGGCGGCCCGUUAAGACAGGUGUGAAAUCCCUGGGCUCAACCUAGGAAUUGCGCUUGUGACUGGCGGGCUCGAGUACGGUAGAGGGGGGUGGAAUUCCUGGUGUAGCAGUGAAAUGCGUAGAGAUCAGGAGGAACACCGAUGGCGAAGGCAGCCCCCUGGGCCUGUACUGACGCUCAUGCACGAAAGCGUGGGGAGCAAACAGGAUUAGAUACCCUGGUAGUCCACGCCCUAAACGAUGGGUACUAGCCGUUUGGUGCGCGAUAGCGCUGAGUGGCGAAGCUAACGCGUGAAGUACCCCGCCUGGGGAGUACGGCCGCAAGGUUGAAACUUAAAGGAUUGGCGGG
RNAcentral lists this ribosomal RNA (409 nucleotides) under uncultured microorganism. RNAcentral's name for it is "bacterial SSU rRNA". It matches the Rfam family "Bacterial small subunit ribosomal RNA", at positions 509 to 917 of the family's 1533-position model. The record is from RNAcentral.